This 482-nucleotide ribosomal RNA is filed under the name uncultured bacterium. RNAcentral describes it as "partial 16S ribosomal RNA". It matches the Rfam family "Bacterial small subunit ribosomal RNA", at positions 28 to 507 of the family's 1533-position model. The record is from RNAcentral.
GACGAACGCUGGCGGCGUGCUUAACACAUGCAAGUCGAACGCUGAAGCUCAGCUUGCUGGGUGGAUGAGUGGCGAACGGGUGAGUAACACGUGAGUAACCUGCCCUCUUCUUUGGGAUAACGCCCGGAAACGGGUGCUAAUACUGGAUAUUCACUGAUUCUCGCAUGGGGGUUGGUGGAAAGGUUUUUUCUGGUGGGGGGUGGGCUCGCGGCCUAUCAGCUUGUUGGUGGGGUGAUGGCCUACCAAGGCUUUGACGGGUAGCCGGCGUGAGAGGGUGACCGUGCACAUUGGGACUGAGAUACGGCCCAGACUCCUACGGGAGGCAGCAGUGGGGAAGAUUGCGCAAUGGGCGAAAGCCUGAUGCAGCGACGCCGCGUGAGGGAUGGAGGCCUGCGGGUUGUAAACCUCUUUCGCUCAUGGUCAAGCCGCAGCUUUGGGUUGUGGUGAGGGUAGUGGGUAAAGAAGCGCCGGCUAACUACGUG